GGAGGCGCAGGGAAACCGAGUCUUAAUAGGGCGACUAGUUGCAUGGAUUAGACCCGAAACCUGGCGAUCUAUCCAUGGUCAGGCUGAAGGUUGGGUAACACUAACUGGAGGGCCGAACCCACGUAUGUUGAAAAAUGCGGGGAUGAACUGUGGAUCGGAGUGAAAGGCUAAUCAAGCCAGGAGAUAGCUGGUUCUCCUCGAAAGCUAUUUAGGUAGCGCCUCAUGUAUCACUCUUGGGGGUAGAGCACUGUUUGGGCU
Molecule: ribosomal RNA, 258 nt
Filed under: Alexandrium margalefii
Lineage: Eukaryota; Dinophyceae; Gonyaulacales; Pyrocystaceae
Description: partial Bacterial large subunit ribosomal RNA
Rfam family: Bacterial large subunit ribosomal RNA
Source: RNAcentral